AGACUAGGUGACCUGAGAGUCCCUUUCAGCUCUACUUCUGUAAUUGUGGGUGGUAAAGCUGGACCUGGAACUCAAUUCUGACUCACAGUGAGGAAUAUUUCUAUCAUUUUUUCUUCCUCUGUAAAAAUAAGAUAUCAAGAGUCAAGUUCUUAGGUGGAGAUUUGCAAAGGAUUUGUAAUGCCUUUAGCAUAGGAAAUUCUUUCCACUUACCGGCUGUAUGACCCUAGGCAAGUCACUUGGCAGUGAGAUGGCCGAAUGGAUAGUGGAGUCAGGAAGACCUGAAUUCAACUUCUGCCUCAGAUAUUCACAAGUUAUGUGAUUUGGGGCCAAUUCAACCUUUAUCUACCUCAGUUCACUCAACGGUAAACUGAGGAUAAUAAAAGCACCUAUUUCCCAUGGUUAUGGUGAGGAUCAAAGAAGAUAAUAUUUUUUUAUGGGUCAAUAUAUAUACAACUUUUAUUUUUUUAUUUUUUGAAAGCUUUUUUAUUUUCAAAACAUAUAAUUUUUCAACACUGACCCUUGCACAGCCCCUCCUUCCCCCCCACUCCCUCCCCAAAUGACAAGCAUUCCAAUAUAUAUUAUAUAUGUUAAAAUAUAUGUUAAAUCCAAUCUAUGUAAACAUUUAUACAUUUAUCUUACUGCAUAAGCAAAAUCAGAUCAAAAAAGGAAAGAAAAUGAGUAAGAAAACAAAAUGCAAGGGAACAAUAACUAAAAGAAUGAGAAUGUUAUGUUGUGAUCCCACAGUUCUUUCUGAGUGUAGAUGGCUCUCUUCAUCACAAGAUCAUUGGAACUAGCCUCAUUCAGAUUUUAAAGUGCUUAGCAUAGUGGUCUGCAGGUAGUAGGUAUUUUUAAUUGCUUGUCCCUUUCCCUUCCACCUCACUUCUCCAUCCUUCAGUUUCCUCACCUAUUAAAGUUAGAGGCUAAAGCAGAUAAUUUCUAAAGUCCCUUCCAGGUCAAAAAAUUCUAGAUACUAAAAUGAAAUAGUGGGAAGAUAAAAUGUUAACUGUUAAUCCAUAGGUAGAGAGAUACAAGGAAAUAUAUAAAUUAUAUAAACAUGUAAAUAUAUAAAUUUAGGAGGAACGCACAUCAAGAAUUACCAUUAAAUUAGGUAUGACAAGACUUAAUACUUUAUUUAAAGCCCAAUAUUUAAAUAAGUCAGUGGUACAGUGGAAGCCAGGCUAAAACCGAGUUCAAAAUUUGCCCCCAACAGUGACUUAAUUGGGUGAUCAUGAGUAGAUAGCUUAAUUUCUUUCCAUUAGUUUUCAAAAUGGUGAUGAAAAUAUGAGGAUCAAAUGAGAUAACAUAUAUACAAUGCUUUGCAAAACUUAAAUCAUUGUAUAAAUGUUAGCUCUUGUUAUCUAAUAAUUAUUAAUGAAUUAAGAAGUUCCAACACAUUUAAGAGGAAGGAUUCACUACUUUGUGACAGUUGAACUUCAACACUUGUGAGGUCUCUUCCAUUUCUCUCUUUUCUAUGCAAUUCAUAGGACAAAUACAGUGCUCUUCUGAUGGUAAAAAAAAAAAAAAAAAUUGUGCUAACAUAGAACCAAUAUUGACAUAUGCAGCUCAGAAAAUGAAGGGUUUUUUAAAACAAUUUUAUAAACAAUUUAGCAAUUUAUUUUUAAAAAAAAACACUUUAGCAAUGUAUUCAGUGUGUUUCAAAUGUCUUUAAGUAACCAAAAAGGUGGUUUGGGGAACAAAAAAAAAAGGCAUUGGUUGGGAGUAUCCAUGUAAUAUAAAUAUUAAAAUGAUAACUUAAUUUUCUUCUCUAGAAAUGGCAGUUAGAAAUGCAAAUCUUUCCAUUCUCUCUGGGAUUUAAAUUUCUACUUGUCACAGACUUAGAAAUCCUAUUGUGCUCAGUAAUUCCUGAGGAAGGUAGUCUAAAUUAUGACCCUCUUAUCCAUGAAGAGGCAAACCCAAUGGGAAUACUAAAAAGCCUGCCUUUUUAUUUCAAUGUGAUACUUAAUCUUCUAUUACUCUACUAACUGCACAAACCACCCACUUAAUUAACCUGUUUUUGAAUUAUUUAUUAUCUUCCUACUGAGAGGGUGAAAAAGAAUCUUUCUGGUUGUCUAUUUUGCUUCAGAUAGAAAGUUCAGCAAACUGAAAGAUUUGAAAGUGUUUUCUUCAGCACCUGCCCCCUUCUGGACAUGAGGGAAAGGGAACCUAGAAAUAGCUUUUUUUCCCCUGAAAUAAGAGUAUUUAAUGUUUUCAUGCAAAUAACUUCAAUAAUUCAUAAGGGAACAGUUUCUUUGAAAAUCAUUAUCAACAAAGAACUUUUGCAUUUAUCUAGCAACCUCCUUUUUAGUUGAGUGAAAAAAAUCAGCAAAAUUAUUUUCUAUUAUGAUCCUAAAUGUCUAUAUCUUUUAUCCCCCAAAAUAAGAAUCUACAUUCACUUGGAAGAAGUUUCACUGGUUUCCAUAAGUUCUAUUGCAAAUAGUAAGUCAAAAAAAAAUUGGAUUUGAAGUCAGAAGACCUCAACUAAUCUCUGUGAGCCUCAGUUUCCUAAUUUUCAAAGUAAUUAUCAUAAUCUUUUCCCAGGCUUCUUUGAGGUAAGGAUCAAAACAGCAAAAUGGAAAGUAAUAAAUGGAAGGGCAGAGAAUGUCUGUAGAACAGCCUUUUGAAAUUCUCAUCUCACCAUCUAUAAAUGGGAUAACUUGGUUUUAAGGGUAGCCAGGACAUCCUUUUAACUUCAAAAUAUCUUCUAUCCUUCCUUCUGCUUAUGUUGUAUUUACAUCUCUUGUAACAGUUUUUAGUGGUUUGCAAAAUGUCUCCCUUUUCUGAACUUGUUAAUUCCUUGAGAAAAGAGACUGAUUUUUGUCUUUCUUCUGUAUCCCUGGCACUCUGGAAUAAGUAUUUAAUAAAUGUUUCUGUUAUAAAUGUUUGCUACCUAUGACCCUGGACAACUUACUUAAACUCCUUAACCCUCCUUUCCCCCUCUGUAAAAGAAAGGAGUUAGGAUAAAUGGCUUCUGAGAGAUACCUUUUAACUCUAGAUCUACAAUUCUAUGCCCAUCAAAAGACAUCUUUACCUUCCAACUCUCAUCUAAGGUAGUGCAACAGAAAGAAAAUAGAAGACCAGGAGUUUAUUGUCUCCCCUUGAUAGUAACCACUUGUGUGACUUGGAUCAGACUACUUAAUUUUCCUGGCCUCAAUUUCCUUAUCUGUAAAAUAAAAUGACUAAAUGGCCUCCAACGUACUAACUCAUAAAACUAUGAUUCUUUGCCCAUCAGAGUUCUCUGACAGUUCAGGUGUUCCUGGUCCUGAAACCUUUCUUUGCCUCCCUCUCAGCAACUUGCUUUACUAAUCCCCAGAUAUCUGUCAUAUGUAAAUUGCUUUUUCCAGAUUGCUCCAACCCACCUCAAUGCUUCAUAUCCUUCUUCUGACAAGAGCAACUCUUUUCGUACCCUUCCUGUUCACAGUCCCCUAGUAGAAGCUGCUGUAGCUGAACUCUGUGAUCUUUAGUUCUAUUUUAAGAGAAGCUCUAGCUCUCUCUCUCUCACUCUAGAAACCACUUAUACAAAACACCCAGCAUCUCACCCACCCUGCAAUUUUCCUUGUGCCUCCAUCUCCCACUGUCUGCUUGCAGUAAAACAUAUCACAAGUAUGCCACACAGUAAAUUUGUUUCCCCAGGGUUUAUUCCCUUGGGAAGACAAGCCAGAGAAUAACAGCUAAAAGGGACCUUGGAGGUCAUGUAAUUCAGCCCUUUGAUAAGAAUAUUCUCUACAAGUUGGACAAGUAGUAGCCCAAUCCGUUUGAACACCUUUAGUAAUGGCAAACUCAUUACCUUCCAAGGUAGUCCAUUCCAUUAUACCAUUAAUUCUGAUCUUUGGUCAUUUCUUUUAUAAACUAAUAAUGCCUCUUUGGCAACUUCCCCCCAGUGUUCCUGGUUCUGUUCUUUGGGGUCCUCUAUUGGGAAAUUCCAACCACUUUUCUGACACAUCUUAGGAGUACAAGAAAAUGGUGAAAAGUUCCCAACAUCUACCCUCCCUGGGACCAGGAUGGCUCAUUUUCCUUCAUGUAUACAUUACUGUUCUCACUUAUACUGACUGAUGCAUACAAACCUCUGGGUAUUAGCCCUUCCCUGUCACAAAAAUGCAAACACUUUUCGUUCUAUUUUGCUGAUAAGGAAAUAAUUCCCAGGGAGUUUCAGUUAUUGGCAGGGCCCUUGGAGCAAAGAGAACAGGAUUACAGCUCAAGGUCAGGGUUUCCAUUCUAUCUCCUUUCUCUGGCUGAGCCUGGAGCUUAUUCAUUGAAACCUGUAGUCACAUAUGAAGAGAGCACUCUUUCUAUGGGAAGAAGCUCUUUCUUCCCAAUGCUUGUUCAUUUUCACCCCCUAUCUCCUUUCCUUCCCUAUCCCCCACAUUUACACCAUCAAAUGGCCGAUUUAGUCAUAUCCAGAGCUGUCUGACCAGUUCCCGGGACUCCCUUCUGGAGCCAUCCAGGAAGGGAGGAAACCCUGGGAGGAGAGGCAGGGAAAUAUGAGCUGAACUGGAUUCCUCAGCUCACCUCUGCGAGGAAGAGAAAGAGAUGCUAAAGGCUUUCAUGGAUUAGCAGUCGGCGAGUCCCGGACUGGGGAAUGGUUUCGACCCCAUAUGCAAUCGGGGAACGAUUUUAAGCUCUGGCAAUCAAAAGGUUCCUCCCAACAGGAAGGAAAUAAUCUCUCCUCCCCUUCUGCCUUUCUCUGGCCCCUUUCUUUCACCUCUUCCCGGAUUCCCUUUUGUCUCUCUUUUCUCUAUAUCCUACCAUUUCUCCCUUUCUCUCCUCCCCUUCCCCCUCUCCCCUCCCCAUCGUUUUUGUAACUCCCACUUUUUCAAUCCUCUCCCUCAUAGCAGUGAAUCGAUCUUCCUUUCUCCUCUUCUGGUUUGUCUUUCCCCCUCUCUCUUCACCUCCCUGCUUCCUCCUGCCAACCGCUCCCUUCACCGCUUUUCACUUUGUCUCCAAUUAUGUCUAAAAGCAACCCACCACAGAUGCUGACAUUUUAAAUGUUUAGUUGUUAUAGUUACUUGACUAAUUGCCGGGCCCGACGGUGGCGUUUCUCCUUCUGCCCAAAACACACACACACACACACACACACACACACACACACACACAUAUAUCACACGGAGGUGGGGGGGGGGGGCUGGAUAGGUGGGCAGUAGCAUUUCCUGCGAGCAUCCCCAGGAGGCAUGACCAACCCCACAGACCAACCCAGGAAAGUUUGGGUGGACGAUGCUCCCAGGAAGCUCUAGGGCCUUGGCAAGGCGAGCAGAAGCACUCCCCUGCCUUCCGCAGCUAAGCCACUGUCUCAGGUGGCGUCAACUCCCAUACCUGCCAACUCUCAAGACUGGUUAUUGAUUGCUACGAAGGCGUCAGUAGCGAGAGGCAGUGGAGUGACUAACCCCAGAGCACCACUCGCCAUUCAACGUUUGCAAAAAAAGAUCCUAUAGGACAUUAUUACAGGGGAGUGGGGACGGUAAAGGGAGGGAUGUGAGGAAUGAGUCCUGGCCCAUGAGAAGAGUUAGAAACUGCUAGCGGGUACUCACGUGCCAGAUGGCGAAGAAGAUGAGCGCGGCGCACAGGACCAGAGACAGCAUGUAGCAAAAAGCAGCGAAAGUGAAGGCCAUGGCGAAGAGAUCACCUGGUAGAGGUGCCCCCCUUUUUGCAAGCACACAGAAAGCCCACAGGAGAUCCAAGUCCCUCUCCCUCAAAAUCUGCCCCAAAACGGUAAGAUAGCCAAACCUUCACUCUCCCACAAGGCUAAUUAGAACAAGGAGGCACCUCACUUGGGGAAAGAAUGGGGACUGGGGGAAGGGGCUAGGAUACAGGAGCUCCCCCAGGCUCUAACGAAUAGACUCCAAACCCAAAAAUCUAAGGCAAAGAAAGGAGGUCCGAAUAUAAGAGCCCCGGAAGGGACCUUCCUCAAAUCCUAGGAGAACCUGGAAUGGCAGGGAUACAAGCGCAGGUUCACUCCUGUGAGCAGUCAAUUAGAGUCCGGGGAGAGGGGAUAAUAGUACGAGAAAUAAACUUCACGGACUAAAAAGCAGAGAAACCCCCAGGAAAACAAGGGAAAUGUAAUCCCAGAGGAAGCCCGUGUUCACCCUGCCUUAAUCCAGGUGCGCCCCGGGACUCUGGACAGCUUUGGCACUUCCCAGGCGCACGCGAGAAACGGCGGCGCAGUGCCCGGCACAACCCGGCUCCACUGCGUUAAGGGACCCACUAUCUCAGCUCCGGCCACAGGUUCUUCCCCGGGACGGGAGGUCUUCUGGGUUGUGGAAAGGAGAAACGAAAACAAAUCGUGUCUUCCUGGAGCUCAGCCCUCACGCCGCGGCUCCCUCCUCGUGGAUGCCGUGCACUCUGGAGGCGCCGCAGCCCCGGAAAGUCUCCUCUAGAAUGCCCGUGGCAUCCCCGGAAGGCUGGAGAUGGAAGCGAAAAUAAGCCAGCUCCGACCCACCAAAGCUCGGCUCAUCAGACCGCAGUCCCCUGCGGCCGUACUGGAGCACCAAACAAGUCCAGUUCCACCUGCUGCUGCUGCUCCCGCCGCUGUGAUUCCCGGGAGAGAAGGGGAGGGAUGUCCCGGGAUCCCUCCUUCCCUGCGCCCCACCUCGCACCUCCGCCGCACGCUCCUUCGGUUGCGUUGGGCGGGGAGAGACUGGAGCCACUUGAGCAGCCAGAGGUGAGGCGCCGCUGCCGCCGCUGCAGCAGUUGCACGCUCAGCCAGUUCGAAACUAGACGUUGCCGGGAGCCCCAGCACGUUGGUGUGCGGCGGGCGGCGGCCGUGGUGGCAACACGGCCGAGGGGAG
Molecule: long non-coding RNA, 6779 nt
Organism: Sarcophilus harrisii (Tasmanian devil)
Lineage: Eukaryota; Metazoa; Chordata; Mammalia; Dasyuromorphia; Dasyuridae
Source: Ensembl